UACGUAGGGUGCAAGCGUUGUCCGGAAUUAUUGGGCGUAAAGAGCUCGUAGGCGGUUUGUCGCGUCGGCUGUGAAAACUCGGGGCUCAACCCCGAGCCUGCAGUCGAUACGGGCAGACUAGAGUGCGGUAGGGGAGACUGGAAUUCCUGGUGUAGCGGUGAAAUGCGCAGAUAUCAGGAGGAACACCGGUGGCGAAGGCGGGUCUCUGGGCCGUAACUGACGCUGAGGCGCGAAAGCUAGGGGAGCAAACAGG
This 253-nucleotide ribosomal RNA is filed under the name uncultured bacterium. RNAcentral describes it as "partial 16S ribosomal RNA". It matches the Rfam family "Bacterial small subunit ribosomal RNA", at positions 524 to 776 of the family's 1533-position model. The record is from RNAcentral.